This is a long non-coding RNA of Girardinichthys multiradiatus, 2049 nucleotides long. RefSeq lists it as uncharacterized. The transcript is spliced from 2 exons. NCBI's taxonomy places the organism in Eukaryota, Metazoa, Chordata, Actinopteri, Cyprinodontiformes, Goodeidae. The record is from RefSeq and is a predicted model, not a curated record.
GUAAGAGUUAACGGACGGCCAGUAAAGUUUUCCUACCUCGACACGUCCAAGAUGGAUUUAGCAAAGCAAAAACUGAAAGAGCUCAUAAAAGAGGUGAGAAAGCUAACCCUCUGUGUAGAUGGCUGGAGCAAAAGGGGAUGAACUGCAUCUUUCAUGGGUGUGUCAGCUUGCUUUGACCUCCCACCUGGAGGCCAAGUCCACCAUGCUCUGCUGAACUUGCACCGAAUGGAGCCCCCACAUACCGGGGAGGCCAUCGCCGGCUGCAUUGAUCUGACACUGGAAGCGUGGGGUAUAGGGGAAGAGAACCGAUAACGGGGCCAACAUCGUCAAGGCAAUACGGCUUCUUCACAAUCGUAAACGAGCAGAAGAUAGAAACUUUUCUCAGGAUGAGCUGCUGCUGCAGAGAGCCAAGAAGAAACGUGGAUUGGGUCUGAAUCGGAGGAGUCGGACACAGAGAGUGAGGAAAGUGGAGAUCUAGUUUAAUCCACAAUCUCCAUCAUGCUGACACACUGAGGAACUUCUCUUGAUGACUUUUACCAGGAUGAUGGCGCCCUCUAGUGUUGAAGAAGAGUUUGUUAACAUGAAACCCAACCUGUAACCCUGAUGCUGCUCAGUGACAGGAGAAAUGAUGAGCUUCACUUCUUUAGCUGUUUUUCCUUGGAAUGAGAGACGGAGGAACAUGAUCUUUAUCUCACUGAUCAAAAACAACCUAAUCUCUUUGUAAUUAACAUGUUUUAUUUCAACAAAGCCAGAAAGAAACACAUAUUUUCUGCUAUGUUCUGGACAUUAAAACUAUUUUCUGAUGUUUCACAGACUGUUAUUCUUUUCUCAGUAGUUUUAUUGUUUGUUCAUCAAAUCACAGAAAAUACAGAAAAUAAGAGGAUAGAAGCUGAUCUGAAGCUGCUCUCAAACAUCUUAUUAACUCAUUGAAGUUUUCUGCCUCCAUUUAUUUGGUUUUGUCCAACGCUGCCAACAUAGUUGAGAAUAUCCAAUGAAUCUUUAAAAUGAGCGUCUCUGCUGCAGAAGCUGCUGCUUGUAGAGGUUUCUGUGUGCUUUGACAGGGUUUGCAGGGUUGUGUAUCUGCAUGGAGGUUUGCAGCACAGGAACAGGAGAACUUCCUCUCACCUUUCCUCUUCAUCCUGCAGGUCAGCAUCUAAACGGACUGAGCUUAUAUAAUGUCAUACUGACAACUCAAAGCUCUUUAACACUAGUUACAUUCACCCAUCCACACACACAUCACACACUAACACAGAUCUGACACUUUGACGUGUGGUGGAGGAAGCUGGAAUCAAAUAUUUAGUCUGACUUUUAAUAUUUUUAACAUAAAUUAUGAACUAAAUCAGAAUAAGUAUGAUGAGCCAAUUAUCUCUGGAUAAAAAUCACUAAUUGAAUUGAUAUUUGUUUGUAUUGACAGGUGAACUGAUCAGUUCCUGUAAUAAAUGCUUUCUUUCUGUAAUCUCUCUGCAGCAGUGGUGGAAGCAGAGGAUGUUCUUGAUGAAUGAAGGUGAAACCAAACAUCUGAUCUGAUCCAGCAUCACAUGAGACACUCUGAAGGAAAUGUUUCUGCUCUUUAGACGACAAAACUCACAAUUUAUUGUUAGAAUGAAAAGAAAACUUUCCACAUUUCUCUGGAAUCAAGUUGUUUUAUUGAAGAAAUCCAAAGAGACAGAACAGCAGACAUAUAUUUUUCUGAUCUAAAUCUAAAGGAUUCAGAAGAAAACAGCAUCAGUUCUAAGUUGAUGUUAGUUUCAGUUUUCUUCUUUGGAUCACAAUAAAGAAACCAGAAGCAAGUUCAGUUCACUUCAAUCUCAACUGAUUUAAACAAGAACAACAUUUGUUCUGCAGAACAGUGGAAGAGAAACCAGAAGAUCCAAAUACAUCAAUACAAAUAUGAAACCAGAACCAUUAGAGCCCAGAGAAGUUUAGAUUUUCAUGUGGAGAAAUAUUUCUGUGUCAAAUAAGAAUGAAAGAAAACAUCAGCAGUGAAAUCCUUUCUGGUUCCUGGAACACAGACACAGAGAACUACAUUUAAACAAGAACAAUGAAGAA